GCGGCACUGUUGGUGGGUGGGACUUUGCAGUCCCGGUUCUGUUCGGAGCUCUGUUACUCAGCGCCGGCGUUCCCUAGUCCUUCGGUUUUCUUGCUGCCCAAGAUGAGUGAGGUUUCAUUUGCUCUUAUCUACUGAGGCUUUUCAAAUUGAAGAUGAGGUCACUGGUUGAAGAUCUUUUUUGUUUUAUAACAUAAGCACCAGGUGCUCACUACGUACCCAGGCCAGCCUGGAAUUUGGCAUUCCCGCCUUAUCCUCCCGAAUGCUGGGAUUAUAGGUGAGCAC
This is a long non-coding RNA of Acomys russatus (golden spiny mouse), 282 nucleotides long. RefSeq lists it as uncharacterized. NCBI's taxonomy places the organism in Eukaryota, Metazoa, Chordata, Mammalia, Rodentia, Muridae. The record is from RefSeq and is a predicted model, not a curated record. The transcript is spliced from 3 exons.